UAGGAUAGACAUGAACAUUUUG
Molecule: microRNA, 22 nt
Filed under: Brugia malayi
Lineage: Eukaryota; Metazoa; Nematoda; Chromadorea; Rhabditida; Onchocercidae
Also listed under: 1 other name
Description: bma-miR-5848
Source: miRBase by way of RNAcentral